AGGUCUUGACAUCCCGAUGCUAUUCUAGAGAUAGAAAGUUACUUCGGUACAUCGGUGACAGGUGGUGCAUGGUUGUCGUCAGCUCGUGUCGUGAGAUGUUGGUUAAGUCCCGCAACGAGCGCAACCCCUAUUGUUAGUUGCCAUCAUUCAGUUGGGCACUCUAGCGAGACUGCCGGUAAUAAACCGGAGGAAGGUGGGAUGACGUCAAAUCAUCAUGCCCCUUAUGACCUGGGCUACACACGUGCUACAAUGGUUGGUACAACGAGUUGCGAGUCGGUGACGGCGAGCUAAUCUCUUAAAGCCAAUCUCAGUUCGGAUUGUAGGCUGCAACUCGCCUACAUGAAGUCGGAAUCGCUAGUAAUCGCGGAUCAGCACGCCGCGGUCGAAUACGUUCCCGGGCCUU
This 403-nucleotide ribosomal RNA is filed under the name uncultured Streptococcus sp. RNAcentral's name for it is "bacterial SSU rRNA". It matches the Rfam family "Bacterial small subunit ribosomal RNA", at positions 976 to 1382 of the family's 1533-position model. Lineage: Bacteria; Bacillati; Bacillota; Bacilli; Lactobacillales; Streptococcaceae. The record is from RNAcentral.